RNAcentral lists this transfer RNA (88 nucleotides) under Clostridia bacterium. RNAcentral describes it as "tRNA-Ser". It matches the Rfam family "tRNA". Rfam says of the family: Transfer RNA (tRNA) molecules are approximately 80 nucleotides in length. Lineage: Bacteria; Bacillati; Bacillota; Clostridia. The record is from RNAcentral.
GCUUGCGUACAGUAACGGUAACUGCCCGGUCUUGAAAACCGAGAGAGGAUGAAAGUCCUUGGGGGUUCAAAUCCUCCCGCAAGCGCCA